This is a long non-coding RNA of Carassius gibelio (silver crucian carp), 1080 nucleotides long. RefSeq lists it as uncharacterized. The transcript has 3 exons. NCBI's taxonomy places the organism in Eukaryota, Metazoa, Chordata, Actinopteri, Cypriniformes, Cyprinidae. The record is from RefSeq and is a predicted model, not a curated record.
CGGUGAGCGAGCUUUGACAGCGAUGCUGGAGCACGCUUCUAACAAAAGCCACGGGGCUGAAUAGCGUGUGACGUAAGGCUUAGAGCUCCGCCUGCGGAAAAGUACCGACGGACUGUGAGGUGAGGACGGACCCCGGAGUCAGGCAUUUCAUCAUUCUUGAAGAGUUCUCCAACGGAGGGGCGUGGUCCACUAGACGACAUCCCUUCACGGGGCCUUAGAUUCUUUUUAACUUAACCUAUAUUCAAUUAUUCUAACUUUAGGGGCUUAACCUUAAUUGAAACCCAGCAGUAGUUUAACAAAAUGUAAACUGACAAUUCUUUAUUUUUCAUGUUAAAAAAAAUGCAAACCUUUUUCUAAAUAGUAGUCUUUAUGGAAAUCUGCUUGGGGGAAAAUAAAAGGUAAGACUCUCUGCCUCAGCCAGCAUUGUAAAUCUUAAUUGGAUUAAUGGAUCAGCGGCACGACUAUAGACACAUGAGACCAAGGCAAUGCUAAGCUGCCCAUUCUGUAACUGCCAGCCAGUGUAAUGCACUGACCGCACAAUGCCAGUAACAGAGACUCUAGAAACAUCCUGGCCUUUGUGUGCAAAUCCUCACCAACAACUGAACUGACAAGCGAUUCUCGACAUACGGAUCAGGUUUUUUAAAACAAAGUUGUAGGCAUAACUAAAAGGACAGGAUUAAACUAGAGGGCCUGUCUACACACAUAGAUGUUGUGGCCCUUUCAGGGGACUGGUGUCUUGUCCAGGGGACCAGAGAUUGGGGUGGUUAUCUUUGUUGUGGUGUAAUUAUUGUAAUUUGUGGUUAUUUCAAGUGUUGACCCAUUCCUAAGCAACAUGAGUGUUCGUGUGUCCGGAAUAAUGCUGCUUUGCACAAAUAAUUCUGGAUCUCAUAUAUUUUUCAAAUAUUUUAUACUUGCAACAUAUCAGAAAAACGUUGGCCUUCUGUGUGGAAUACACAUUCAUACCUCUAUGUGUAAUAUUUGUGAAUUUGGAAUAGUUAAUCUAAUCACAAAUAAAGUGUUGCAUAACCAUUUGCACCCUUUUAUUAAUGAGAGCAGAUAUGAAGCAUAUGUGUCGCCCUC